UUCCAGACUCCUACGGGAGGCAGCAGUGAGGAAUAUUGGUCAAUGGGCGCGAGCCUGAACCAGCCAAGUCGCGUGAGGGAUGACGGCCCUACGGGUUGUAAACCUCUUUUGUCGGGGAGCAAAUUCCGCCACGUGUGGCGGAGUCGAGAGUACCCGAAGAAAAAGCAUCGGCUAACUCCGUGCCAGCAGCCGCGGUAAUACGGAGGAUGCGAGCGUUAUCCGGAUUUAUUGGGUUUAAAGGGUGCGUAGGCGGAAGGCCAAGUCGGCGGUAAAAUCGCGGGGCUCAACCUCGCUCCGCCGUUGAAACUGGCGUUCUUGAGUGGGCGAGAAGUAUGCGGAAUGCGCGGUGUAGCGGUGAAAUGCAUAGAUAUCGCGCAGAACUCCGAUUGCGAAGGCAGCAUGCCGGCGCCACACUGACGCUGAGGCACGAAAGCGUGGGUAUCGAACAGGAUUAGAUACCCGAGUAUC
This 468-nucleotide ribosomal RNA is filed under the name uncultured bacterium. Its description in RNAcentral is "bacterial SSU rRNA". It matches the Rfam family "Bacterial small subunit ribosomal RNA", at positions 329 to 795 of the family's 1533-position model. The record is from RNAcentral.